Podarcis lilfordi (Lilford's wall lizard) is the source of this 76-nucleotide non-coding RNA. NCBI's taxonomy places the organism in Eukaryota, Metazoa, Chordata, Lepidosauria, Squamata, Lacertidae. The record is from the annotation of a GenBank genome assembly.
GGUUGGGGCCAAAGAAAAGUAGUAGCACAUCUGCUUUGCAUGCAGAAGGUCCCAGGUUCAAUCCCUGGCAUCUACA